UACUCCUACGGGAGGCAGCAGGGGGGAAUAUUGGGCAAUGGACGCAAGUCUGACCCAGCAACGCCGCGUGAAGGAAGAAGGCUUUCGGGUUGUAAACUCCUUUUACAGGGGAAGAGCAGAAGACGGUACCCCUUGAAUAAGCCACGGCUAACUACGUGCCAGCAGCCGCGGUAAUA
This 176-nucleotide ribosomal RNA is filed under the name Oscillibacter valericigenes. RNAcentral describes it as "partial 16S ribosomal RNA". It matches the Rfam family "Bacterial small subunit ribosomal RNA", at positions 334 to 525 of the family's 1533-position model. The record is from RNAcentral. Lineage: Bacteria; Bacillati; Bacillota; Clostridia; Eubacteriales; Oscillospiraceae.